Molecule: small RNA, 114 nt
Filed under: Micromonospora rosaria
Lineage: Bacteria; Bacillati; Actinomycetota; Actinomycetes; Micromonosporales; Micromonosporaceae
Description: Actinobacteria sRNA Ms_IGR-7
Rfam family: Actinobacteria sRNA Ms_IGR-7
Source: Rfam by way of RNAcentral
CGAAGUGCCCUCCCGAGCCGGAAGAUGGAAGCGUCCCAACUCCUAUCCUUUCAGCUCAGAGGGCACCCUCUAUCUCCGGGCUUCCGUAGAGCCGACCCUCAUCGGUGGAUCGAG